Molecule: small RNA, 523 nt
Filed under: Arabidopsis thaliana (thale cress)
Lineage: Eukaryota; Viridiplantae; Streptophyta; Magnoliopsida; Brassicales; Brassicaceae
Description: ATSL036210
Source: RNAcentral
AAACCUUUUCAUAUCAUUCUUUUCUUUUCUCUUAACUCUAGGAGAAGCUUUCUCAACACUCUGAUACAUCUAGCGGAUUUGGAUUUCUUUAACAACUAAGGUUCCUGUUUUUAAUCUUUAAAACCAAAGGCUUUUAACCCUUCUUCUUUAGCUAACAAGAACCUCAUUCUUUCUUUAACAUUCCCAAAACCUUUACUAGAUUAUUUUCUAACUUCUUUAGCUUACUUCCCCUAGAAUUCUUUCCCUUUCCUUAUCAACAAUGAAUUCACCCUUUUCUUUUAAACACAUCCCAACCCAUGAUAUAAGCGCCCACCUAGUCCUAUCCAGUCCGAAGAACGCGAACUAGAACUACAUGAGACACUAUCUCUGUCAUUACGAACCUAACACUUUCUACCAAGCUCAAUCGAAAUAAGACCUCACAAACACUCACAAGUGAUAUAGGGCUUGAAAGAAAGUUUAGGUUUGGGUUCGGGUUAACUGCUCUAAUAAGGAGAGUCAGCUACUUGGAUUAACAAGAGUGGUC